GCCUUGCGUUAUUCGAUCAGCCGACAUUGAUAGCUAGUGUAGGUAAGCUCAGCACGAUCAGUAGCAGUCGAGAAGAUGAUCGUCCACACGGAACUGAGACACGACCAGACUUCUACGGAGGCAGCAGUAGGGAGUAUGUCAUGGCGCAGCAUGAUCAGCCAUCCCGCGGUCGAGAAGACGUUCGGUGUAAAGACUUUGUCAGCGAAGAAAAGGCUGUGCUAAUAUCGACAGCUGAUGACGGUACCUGAAGAAUAAGCACCGGCUAACUACGUCCAGCAGCCGCGGUAAUACGUAGGGUGCGAGCGUUAAUCGGAAUUACUGGGCGUAAAGCGAGCGCAGACGGUUACUUAAGCAGGAUGUGAAAUCCCCGGGCUUAACCUGGGAACUGCGUUCUGAACUGGGUGACUAGAGUGUGUCAGAGGGAGGUAGAAUUCCACGUGUAGCAGUGAAAUGCGUAGAGAUGUGGAGGAAUACCGAUGGCGAAGGCAGCCUCCUGGGAUAACACUGACGUUCAUGCUCGAAAGCGUGGGUAGCAAACAGGAUUAGAUACCCUGGUAGUCCACGCCCUAAACGAUGUCAAUUAGCUGUUGGGCAACUUGAUUGCUUAGUAGCGUAGCUAACGCGUGAAAUUGACCGCCUGGGGAGUACGGUCGCAAGAUUAAAACUCAAAGGAAUUGACGGGGACCCGCACAAGCGGUGGAUGAUGUGGAUUAAUUCGAUGCAACGCGAAGAACCUUACCUGGUCUUGACAUGUACGGAAUCCUCCAGAGACGGAGGAGUGCCUUCGGGAGCCGUAACACAGGUGCUGCAUGGCUGUCGUCAGCUCGUGUCGUGAGAUGUUGGGUUAAGUCCCGCAACGAGCGCAACCCUUGUCAUUAGUUGCCAUCAUUUAGUUGGGCACUCUAAUGAGACUGCCGGUGACAAGCCGGAGGAAGGUGGGGAUGACGUCAAGUCCUCAUGGCCCUUAUGACCAGGGCUUCACACGUCAUACAAUGGUCGGUACAGAGGGUAGCCAACCCGCGAGGUGGAGCCAAUCUCACAAAACCGAUCGUAGUCCGGAUUGCACUCUGCAACUCGAGUGCAUGAAGUCGGAAUCGUUAGUAAUCGCAGGUCAGCAUACUGCGGUGAAUACGUUCCCGGGUCUUGUACACACCGCCCGUCACACCAUGGGAGUGGGGGAUACCAGAAGUAGGUAGGGUAACCGCAAGGAGCCCGCUUACCACCGUAGUUUGCAAACGG
RNAcentral lists this ribosomal RNA (1239 nucleotides) under Neisseria perflava. Its description in RNAcentral is "bacterial SSU rRNA". It matches the Rfam family "Bacterial small subunit ribosomal RNA", at positions 210 to 1478 of the family's 1533-position model. Lineage: Bacteria; Pseudomonadati; Pseudomonadota; Betaproteobacteria; Neisseriales; Neisseriaceae. The record is from RNAcentral.